AAAUUUGCGAAGGAAAUAUACGUCGCAAAGUUUGCGACGGAAUAUCGAGUUGGUCAUGUUCCCUCGGAGAGAUUCGUCGGCGAAGAAGAGGUUUGUCGGAGAGAUCUAUUCGUCGGCGAAUUUGAGGUUUGUCAGGGAGAAAACAAUUCGUCGGCGAAUUUGAGUUUUAUCAGAGAGAACAAUUUGUCGACGAAUUUGAGUAGGUUUGUCAAAAUGAGAGUGAAACCCUAAUUAUUCAGUAAGGGUAAAACCAUUAUUUUCCACAUUAGAAAGGGCAGUUUUAAAAAUGGCCAUCAGAAAAGGGCAUUGUUGCAAAAGGUUAUUACAAAAAUGGCACUUUUGCAAAUCUCCCUUUUGAUUGUUAUAUCUAAGAUUUCACCUCUACAAUAUCAUCCCCUAUUAAUAUCGACCCAAAUCAUUCUGACCAUAUAACCCCGUCCUAUGAAAUUAAACAUUAUUUUGUCUUAGUUUUAUAUAAACUUCAA
Molecule: small RNA, 485 nt
Filed under: Arabidopsis thaliana (thale cress)
Lineage: Eukaryota; Viridiplantae; Streptophyta; Magnoliopsida; Brassicales; Brassicaceae
Description: ATSL156080
Source: RNAcentral